UGACACGAGUGGAAAUACAAAUAAUCCGGACUUAACUAUUACAGAAAGUAGUAUCCAAAAGAAAAUGAGGAUUCACAGAAUCACAGAAUUGCAGGGGAUGGAAGGGACCGCAAGAGAUCAUCGAGUUCAACUCCUCUGCUAGAGCAAGUAUCCUAAAAUAGGUUGCACAGUAAAAACUAUCAAGCAUUGUAACCACCUCCCCAGUAGAGUCUGGAAUCUGCAUUACUGGAGGUUUUCAAGAUGCAACUGGACUGGGUAUUGAAGAAUCUCAUCAAGGUUUCUAUUUCCAUAAAAGGCUGGAGAUGAUUUUCACCUGGCAUGUUCCAUGAUUCUCUGUGACUAUAGAAAUGGAAAUUUUAAACACAACUUAAUGCCUCUCUCUCUCUCUAAUUCUUUGCUGGUAUAACUGACUCCUUCUGCAUGCCUGGGAGCAAAUGUACUUCUGUGGGGUCAGCACCACUAGAGUAAAUCCAAGUAGACUAAGUAUUCUUCAAGGAAAGGAAUUUGCUUUAAUAAAAAAGACUGAAAGCAUCAGGACACAAAUUUUGCUGUCAAAAAGACUCUUCAUAAACAAGAAAAGAAAAAAAAAAAAAGUGGUUAAGCCAUCACAAGCAGAGCAGCUGGUGUUUUAAAUUGAUUCCCUCUAUCAAUUAUUUAAUUUAUGGUGACUCUGGUGGGGAGCUCUGAGAAACAAGAAUUUGCAAGAUUUUAAAGUAUCCAGUCUCACUAUUUUGAUUGCUCAUCUUCUCACUUUCUUAGUGCACCUUUAAAACUGAACUGAAUUUCUGAGGAAGUUGCUAACUAUCUUGUCUGCAUUCACACUCAUUUGGACAUCUUUCCACAGAAACGAGUUUAUUAGAUUAGAACAGUCUCAGAUUAUUACACUUCAAAAGGUAAUGAAAAUGCCUUUACUGCCAUAAUAUUGCAGUUACUGCUAUGUUGCUAUAAACUGUGUCUUCUUUCUGUGAAGAGACAGAAGUAUGAGCUUUGGAUCAGUAGCAGCACAGGUACUUUCUUUAACAAAUGUGAAAAUUAGUGCUGUGAAAUCUCCCAAAUCUGUAGUAUGUAACAGAUAAAUCCACUACAUCAGAAGCAAACUGAGCACAAAACCAGGCAUGCAGGGCAGCAGCAGCACAGUAGUCUUUAUACAAACAAUUGCACUAAUGAAAGCAAAACAAUAGUCUUAGUUAUCUACAAAAGGCCUGGUAAAUAGUGCCUUCAGGGGAUUUUCUAAUCAUAACAAUAAUAUUAAUUAUUUCCUAUGGCUAUGAAUAAAAUUUCAGUUUUCCUUUACUGAUUAAUGCAUUUAAACAGAAUAUUUUUACCUGUAUAUAUUACCAUUGCAAUCACCAUAAAAUAGAUUUGGAUAAACCAAAUACAACUGUACAAUUUUCAUGAAUUGGCAAAGACAGCACAGAAAAAGUACUGCAAUUCUUUGCAUGGCAACCAUGUAACCAAAGCAACAAAAAAAUGCAAUUGAAGAAUAAGAAAUAAGAAAUCUGAAUAAACUUUAGAAAAGUUGACAACAUUCUUUUGAAAGGUAAGAAACUAGCAUAGACUUGAAAGAAAAUGCUGAGAGUCCUUGGAUCACAUACUCCUGAUUUGCAUUAAAAAACAGUAUGUUGUCUGUUGUUAGGUGUGCUAUCUGGAUGUUGUCAUAAGUCACA
Molecule: long non-coding RNA, 1667 nt
Organism: Tympanuchus pallidicinctus (lesser prairie-chicken)
Lineage: Eukaryota; Metazoa; Chordata; Aves; Galliformes; Phasianidae
Exons: 3
Source: RefSeq, a predicted model, not a curated record